CCUACGGGAGGCUGCAGUGGGGAAUAUUGGACAAUGGGCGAAAGCCUGAUCCAGCCAUGCCGCGUGUGUGAAGAAGGCCUUCGGGUUGUAAAGCACUUUCAGUGGGGAAGAAAGCCUUGGGGCUAAUACCCUCGAGGAAGGACAUCACCCACAGAAGAAGCACCGGCUAACUCCGUGCCAGCAGCCGCGGUAAUACGGAGGGUGCGAGCGUUAAUCGGAAUUACUGGGCGUAAAGCGCGCGUAGGCGGUUUGAUAAGCCGGUUGUGAAAGCCCCGGGCUCAACCUGGGAACGGCAUCCGGAACUGUCAGGCUAGAGUGCAGGAGAGGAAGGUAGAAUUCCCGGUGUAGCGGUGAAAUGCGUAGAGAUCGGGAGGAAUACCAGUGGCGAAGGCGGCCUUCUGGACUGACACUGACGCUGAGGUGCGAAAGCGUGGGUAGCAAACAGGAUUAGAUACCCCUGUAGUC
This 465-nucleotide ribosomal RNA is filed under the name Vreelandella stevensii. RNAcentral describes it as "partial 16S ribosomal RNA". It matches the Rfam family "Bacterial small subunit ribosomal RNA", at positions 338 to 795 of the family's 1533-position model. The record is from RNAcentral. Lineage: Bacteria; Pseudomonadati; Pseudomonadota; Gammaproteobacteria; Oceanospirillales; Halomonadaceae.